This 45-nucleotide non-coding RNA is filed under the name Schistosoma curassoni. Lineage: Eukaryota; Metazoa; Platyhelminthes; Trematoda; Strigeidida; Schistosomatidae. The record is from RNAcentral.
AUCCAGCUGACGAGCCCUAAAUAAGACGAAACGCGAGUCCUGGAU